CUCCCAAAGUGCUGGGAUUACAGGCGUGAGCCACCAUGCCAGGCCAAGAAAUACAUUUUUAGUCAGGGCGCAGCAGCUCAUACCUGUAAUCUCAGCACUUUGGGAGGCCAAGUGUGGCGGAUCGCCUGAGGUCAGGUGUUCAAGACCAGCCUGGCCAACAUGGCGAAAACCUGUCUCUACCAAAAAUACAAAAAUUAACCAGGUAUGGUGGCAGAUGCCUGUAAUCCCAGCUACUCAGGAGGCUGAGGCAGGAGAAUCACUUGAACCCAGGAGGCAGAGGUUCCAGUGAGCCAAGAUCGUGCCACUGCACUCCAGCCUGGGUGACAGAGUGGGACUCCAUAUCAAAAAAAAAAAAAAAAAGAAAUACAUUUUUAUUUCAGAAAUCCUUUCUAAGAUGUAAGUAACGGACCAAUGAAAACUCUUCUCAUUUUUUUCUUAUGUAGGAUUGAACAGAACAAAUUGUUCACACUUUGUGCUUCAUCCUUAUAAUACAGCUUCUGCCUCCUCAGCAAGUGACUAACAGUACAUGUCUAAAGACCUUAAAAAGUAUCGAAAUUAUCUUAACCAUGGAAAUAUCCAGCUGCAAAUACAUGCCAAAUUCCUUAUCUGUAAUUUUUGUAACUGAACAAACAAGCCCCUGUAUUACAGCAUGAAGAAGUUUUUGAAACUGAAAUGUACUGCUCACUUCACAAUCAUGUUCUGUCUAUCCUUGCUAUUUAGCUUGGGGAAGGUUAUCAAGUUCUGAGGAGAGGAGAAAGGAGAAAAGGAAGGGAGCCAGAAAGAAAGGGUGGGACCAAGAAGCCAAGGAACUUAAGACGAGUUAAGAACAGGUAGAAAGGCCAGGCACGGUGGCUCACGCCUGUAAUCCCAGCACUUCGGGAGAUCAAGGUGGGCGGAUCACCUGAGGUCGGGAGUUUGACACCAGACUGACCAACAUGGAGAAACCCCAUCUCUACUAAAAAUACAAAAUUAGCCGGGCGUGGUGGCACAUGCCUGUAAUCCCAGCUACUGGGGAGGCUGAGGCAGGAGAAUCGCUUGAACCCGGGAGGUGGAGGUUGCGGUGAGCGAGAUGGCACCAUUGCACUCCAGCCUGGGCGACAAGAGCUAAACUCCGUCUCAAAAAGAAAAGAGAAUGGGUAGAAAGACAGAAUGCUAAAACUGUCAGCAGUCCCCCAGAUGGAAGACAGGAGAGAAAUAAUUUAAAACAACAGAAAGCCUUUUCUUUGUGGUCCAGAGAGAGGAAGAGGAGAUCUGGAUAAAACUGCUGAAAAAUUUGGGGGCGGGGGUGAGGUGAAGAACCUAACAGUAAGUCUUGGAAGAUGAAAUACAACUCUGUUGAUUACUGAAGGAUGAACCAAAUAACAGGACUGGGCCCACACAAUAAAGAAGAAAAGAGGGCGGCUGGUUGUGGAGUUAAAGCAGAGAGAAGAAAAAGAAACAGCUACAGAAAUUCCCCAAGGUGCAGGGUACAGGGCUGGGGAAGGUGCGAAUGUUUGGGAAUAAAAACAAACUUUGAAAAACAACAAAAAACAAGUCUUUUCAAAGCCUGGCCUCAGACUUAGGGUAAGUUCUCCCUGAGAGAUUUAAAGGUAAAUAAAGAAGAAGCAAGUUAAGACUGAAAGCUUUGACUGAUCUAACAGGAACAUGUGGCAUUAUGGUUGUAAUGCCACAAAUUUAGUAUUUAGUAUUUUGUGAAGUAUUCACAAAGAAAUGAACAGGAUGCUGCAUAAUUUUUUACAUUGUUUUCCAGGGGCAUGUUGAUGAGAAAUGCUACUCCCUCCAUUUUGUCCCCAGCAUGUGUAUGAUGAAUAAGAAGAGGUGGGGGCGGGGGAGAGAGAUUCUUCCCAUCCACCAAAUGCUACCCUGAUUACCCACGUCAGUCCUAACUCCUGCAUUGCCCCAGGUGCCAGUCAGCAAGGCCUACGCCAUUUGCUUUGCCAUCUCCGCAUUGUCCACUCACUUG
Molecule: long non-coding RNA, 1963 nt
Filed under: Homo sapiens (human)
Lineage: Eukaryota; Metazoa; Chordata; Mammalia; Primates; Hominidae
Description: HSALNT0362157
Source: RNAcentral